GACCUUCUGCAGCAUCAAUGUCUCUCUGCAUUCUAAUGUAUCCAUCCUCACCCCAGCUAGUGCCCCAUGAAUUCUUCACCAACCAAUACUUGGUCCCGUCUUCAGCUUCUCCAUAGCCAACUGCUGUAACCCCAUGGUCAAGGAAGGUGGUGCAUUCGCCAGUGAAGACACCACUUUUGUAGUGUUGGAAGUCAGACCCACCAGCAUCAAUGGCAACUGAAACCGGCUGGUUGGCCACAGCUUUUAACAGUGCUGACUCGCUGUUUGAAGGUACGUCUUCAUAACCAGUGAUCUUGACAGCAUGGUUGGCUGAUUUUUUCUUGUUGCAGCUUCCAUCAACU
RNAcentral lists this long non-coding RNA (341 nucleotides) under Gossypium barbadense (sea-island cotton). Its description in RNAcentral is "long non-coding RNA (GBAR_LNC016097)". Lineage: Eukaryota; Viridiplantae; Streptophyta; Magnoliopsida; Malvales; Malvaceae. The record is from RNAcentral.